Trichobilharzia regenti is the source of this 36-nucleotide non-coding RNA. NCBI's taxonomy places the organism in Eukaryota, Metazoa, Platyhelminthes, Trematoda, Strigeidida, Schistosomatidae. The record is from Rfam.
ACGAGUCCCAAAUAGGACGAAAUGUGCAUCCUGGAU